AAACAAGCUGGGCCAUAACUUAUUCCAUUGCUUUCUUAGCUUCUCUGCAUGAUCUCACUGGAGCACCACUGAGUGAUUUGUGAAGAACUAUAGGAGGCUUUAGCAUGCUAAGGAGAGAUGAUAUGGCCUUUCUUCAGAACCCCAGGGGCUUUCCAGAAAAUCUACAAUGAAAUAUUUCUCACCAUUGACACCAUCAGGUCUGCUAAAUCAUCUGACUGAAGAAGUAAAACUGCUUGCAUCAUAGUCUGGACCUGCCAAAGAGUACCUUUCUGCUCUAGGCUCCACUUAAAACUGGCAACCUUUUGUGUCACCUAUAGUCCAGAUCAGAAUCUCAGGACUGUUGGAUUCCAGUCAUUUUAUCUUGGAGACAAAAAAUGAAGAUAUAAUCUGAGAAUUUAGGCAUAUCUACUGAUAGCAUACAUUACCACAUUUGAAGAAAAUAUUUGAAAAAGUCUUCAAACCACCGAGCAAGAAGGGAGACCAACAUAAAGGAAAAUACAGAAAGGAAACAAUGGGGAUCUAUGUGAUAAGGCCAGUCUUCAACCUUUUAUUUCUUCCUUGAACACAAUCUCAAGAUGAAAGUUUUUUCAUGGUUUUUGUGGAAGAAUUCACCAAAGUUCUCAUUCUACCAUCCUGGAAGUCAAUCUUCACGCAGCCCUUUGUGUUUCAGUACAGCUUGUGGAGACAACAGACUCACUAGCAUAGAUAAUCUGAGGCAACUGGAUUGGAUGAGCUGAAGAAAGGCCCAUGUGUCCACCAGGAGUGUAGCAAGGAGAAGCCAAUCCAGGAAUCUCAGAAAAGAACUUGUGCACACAUCUGGCACCAUAGCUUUAGAGGCUGCCAUGCAGAGGACACAUCCCUUGAUAGGAGUCAAGAAAAAUGAAGAAAC
Canis lupus familiaris (dog) is the source of this 889-nucleotide long non-coding RNA. RefSeq lists it as uncharacterized. The transcript has 6 exons. The record is from RefSeq and is a predicted model, not a curated record. Lineage: Eukaryota; Metazoa; Chordata; Mammalia; Carnivora; Canidae.